AUACUACUUCCUCCGUCCCAAAAUUAUUGUCUUAGAUUUGCCUAGAUAUAAAUGUAUCUAAGCACGUUUUAGUAUUUAGAUACAUUCUUUUCUAGACAAACUUGAGACAAGAAUUUUGGAACGGAGGGAGUACAUU
Molecule: non-coding RNA, 136 nt
Organism: Hordeum vulgare subsp. vulgare (domesticated barley)
Lineage: Eukaryota; Viridiplantae; Streptophyta; Magnoliopsida; Poales; Poaceae
Source: Rfam